UGGGGAAUAUUGCACAAUGGGCGCAAGCCUGAUGCAGCCAUGCCGCGUGUAUGAAGAAGGCCUUCGGGUUGUAAAGUACUUUCAGCGGGGAUGAAGGGAGUAAAGUUAAUACCAUUGCUCAUUGACGUUACCCGCAGAAGAAGCACCGGCUAACUCCGUGCCAGCAGCCGCGGUAAUACGGAGGGUGCAAGCGUUAAUCGGAAUUACUGGGCGUAAAGCGCACGCAGGCGGUUUGUUAAGUCAGAUGUGAAAUCCCCGGGCUCAACCUGGGAACUGCAUCUGAUACUGGCAAGCUUGAGUCUCGUAGAGGGGGGUAGAAUUCCAGGUGUAGCGGUGAAAUGCGUAGAGAUCUGGAGGAAUACCGGUGGCGAAGGCGGCCCCCUGGACGAAGACUGACGCUCAGGUGCGAAAGCGUGGGGAGCAAACA
RNAcentral lists this ribosomal RNA (427 nucleotides) under uncultured bacterium. RNAcentral describes it as "partial 16S ribosomal RNA". It matches the Rfam family "Bacterial small subunit ribosomal RNA", at positions 355 to 774 of the family's 1533-position model. The record is from RNAcentral.